Molecule: ribosomal RNA, 478 nt
Filed under: uncultured bacterium
Lineage: Bacteria
Description: partial 16S ribosomal RNA
Rfam family: Bacterial small subunit ribosomal RNA
Source: RNAcentral
UAGGGAAUCUUCCACAAUGGACGAAAGUCUGAUGGAGCAACGCCGCGUGAGUGAUGAAGGGUUUCGGCUCGUAAAACUCUGUUGUUGGAGAAGAACGGGUGUCAGAGUAACUGUUGACAUCGUGACGGUAUCCAACCAGAAAGCCACGGCUAACUACGUGCCAGCAGCCGCGGUAAUACGUAGGUGGCAAGCGUUGUCCGGAUUUAUUGGGCGUAAAGCGAGCGCAGGCGGUUUUUUAGGUCUGAUGUGAAAGCCUUCGGCUUAACCGGAGAAGUGCAUCGGAAACCGGGAGACUUGAGUGCAGAAGAGGACAGUGGAACUCCAUGUGUAGCGGUGAAAUGCGUAGAUAUAUGGAAGAACACCAGUGGCGAAGGCGGCUGUCUGGUCUGUAACUGACGCUGAGGCUCGAAAGCAUGGGUAGCGAACAGGAUUAGAUACCCUUGGUAGUCCAUGCCGUAAACGAUGAGUGCUAAGUGUU